RNAcentral lists this ribosomal RNA (898 nucleotides) under Cephalotrichum gorgonifer. RNAcentral's name for it is "partial 28S ribosomal RNA". It matches the Rfam family "Eukaryotic large subunit ribosomal RNA", at positions 36 to 963 of the family's 3401-position model. The record is from RNAcentral. Lineage: Eukaryota; Fungi; Ascomycota; Sordariomycetes; Microascales; Microascaceae.
AAGCAUAUCAAUAAGCGGAGGAAAAGAACAACAGGGAUUGCCUCAGUAACGGCGAGUGAAGCGGCAACAGCUCAAAUUUGAAAUCUGGUCCCCUCUGGGGGCCCGAGUUGUAAUUUGAAGAGGAUGCUUUUGGCGAGGCGCCUUCCGAGUGCCCUGGAACGGGACGCCACAGAGGGUGAGAGCCCCGUAUGGUAGGACGCCGAGCCUCUGUAAAGCUCCUUCGACGAGUCGAGUAGUUUGGGAAUGCUGCUCAAAAUGGGAGGUAAACCCCUUCUAAAGCUAAAUAUUGGCCAGAGACCGAUAGCGCACAAGUAGAGUGAUCGAAAGAUGAAAAGCACUUUGAAAAGAGAGUUAAACAGCACGUGAAAUUGUUGAAAGGGAAGCGCUUGCGACCAGACUUGCGCCCGUCGGAUCAACCGUCCCUCGUGGGCGGCGCACUCCGGCGGGCUCAGGCCAGCAUCAGUUUUCCUGGGGGUAGAAAGGCGGUGGGAAUGUAGCUCUUCGGAGUGUUAUAGCCCGCCGCGUAAUGCCCUCGGGGGGACUGAGGACCGCGCGUAUGCAAGGAUGCUGGCGUAAUGGUCGUCAGCGACCCGUCUUGAAACACGGACCAAGGAGUCGUCCUAAUAUGCGAGUGUACGGGUGUAAAACCCCUGCGCGUAAUGAAAGUGAACGGAGGUGAGAGCUUCGGCGCAUCAUCGACCGAUCCUGAUGUUCUCGGAUGGAUUUGAGUAAGAGCAUAUUGGGCCGGACCCGAAAGAAGGUGAACUAUGCCUGUAUAGGGUGAAGCCAGAGGAAACUCUGGUGGAGGCUCGCAGCGGUUCUGACGUGCAAAUCGAUCGUCAAAUAUGGGCAUGGGGGCGAAAGACUAAUCGAACCUUCUAGUAGCUGGUUUCCGCCG